UACGAAGGGGGCUAGCGUUGCUCGGAAUCACUGGGCGUAAAGGGUGCGUAGGCGGGUCUUUUAAGUCAGGGGUGAAAUCCUGGAGCUCAACUCCAGAACUGCCUUUGAUACUGGGAGUCUCGAGUUCGGGAGAGGUGAGUGGAACUGCGAGUGUAGAGGUGAAAUUCGUAGAUAUUCGCAAGAACACCAGUGGCGAAGGCGGCUCACUGGCCCGAUACUGACGCUGAGGUGCGAAAGCGUGGGGAGCAAACAGG
This 254-nucleotide ribosomal RNA is filed under the name uncultured bacterium. Its description in RNAcentral is "partial 16S ribosomal RNA". It matches the Rfam family "Bacterial small subunit ribosomal RNA", at positions 524 to 776 of the family's 1533-position model. The record is from RNAcentral.